RNAcentral lists this ribosomal RNA (441 nucleotides) under uncultured bacterium. RNAcentral's name for it is "partial 16S ribosomal RNA". It matches the Rfam family "Bacterial small subunit ribosomal RNA", at positions 338 to 795 of the family's 1533-position model. The record is from RNAcentral.
CCUACGGGUGGCAGCAGUGGGGAAUAUUGCACAAUGGGGGGAACCCUGAUGCAGCGACGCCGCGUGAGUGAAGAAGUAUUUCGGUAUGUAAAGCUCUGUCAGCAGGGAAGAAGAAAGACGGUAUCUGACCAAUAAGCCUCGGCUAAAUACGUGCCAGCAGCCGCGGUAAUACGUAGGGGGCAAGCGUUAUCCGGAUUUACUGGGUGGAAAGGGAGCGUAGACGGCAGGGUAAGUCUGGAGUGAAAGGCAGGGGCACAACCUCUGGACUGCACUUGAAACUGGCCGGCUGGAGUGCAGGAGAGGUAAGUGGAAUUCCUGGUGUAGCGGUGAAAUGCGUAGAUAUUAGGAGGAACACCAGUGGCGAAGGCGGCUUACUGGACUGUAACUGACGUUGAGGCUCGAAAGCGUGGGGAGCAAACAGGAUUAGAUACCCGAGUAGUC